Long non-coding RNA from Meriones unguiculatus (Mongolian gerbil), 6093 nucleotides. RefSeq lists it as uncharacterized. NCBI's taxonomy places the organism in Eukaryota, Metazoa, Chordata, Mammalia, Rodentia, Muridae. The record is from RefSeq and is a predicted model, not a curated record. The transcript is spliced from 13 exons.
GGGACGGAGGGGGGCGGGGACGGGUGGCCGCGCCGCCCAGGGCCGCGGAGCGGGGGAUGGGCCCCGGGCGGGCACGGGAGCGCGGACCCCGCUCGCCCCGCACCCGGCACCCCGAGGUUGCCUCCCUCGCGGCGAGGCUAGCGCGCGGGCGCACCAUGCUACGCCUCUUAAAGGUUCCGCGAGAGCUUGAGGAUGGAGCCGAAGACUUUAAGUCUGUUCGCAACUUGGCGAAGCCACUAAACGCGCGGCUCGCGCUCCACCCGGGACUCCCGGCGCUUUAUGUAGAAGUCCACGAUGCCAAAGGCGGAUAAUGCAACUCCCUUCUUGUAGAGGGGUACGCAGCGGAGGUGGCAGGGUGCCUGGAUCUGGGCUUGCAAACGAAAGAUUUGGCUAGAUCCGAGUGGUGGCAAAUCCUUUGCUUAAUGAACUCUCAUCACUUGUUCGGUUUGGUAGCUCCUUUUUGUUUGUUUGUUUGUUUGAAAAGAAACCGUUCGAUAUUUGCUUUUUUUUUUUUUUUUGGAGGUUUAGUAUUUUAUAGAUUUGUGGCCUGACAUUUUAGUUGCUCAAAUGAAGCAUCUCGGAUGCUUAGAAGCACAAGUAGACUUCACCUCAUUGUCAUGAAGCAAUUAAAAAAAAUUCCCCUCAACUUUAUUUUUCUCUCAUUGGCUUUAGCUAACUGGCCAGUCGGUGACCUGUCACACACACGGUCAUGAAAAGAGAGAGAAAGACCUUUCUUCCCGCUGAUGGACAGGCGGAGGCAGCCGCUCAGCCUCGCCUGUGCACACCCUCUGCACACACAUGUAAACGCACAUGUAUCAGAUGAACAUUUGUCAAUGUACACAGACAAAGACAUCCAAGAAGAUGCUGCUAGGUCACAGAACAGUUGAAUACUGAGUUCAUUGUUCAAAUUCUCCUUAAACAUCCGUAUAGUCAUUAAAACACACCCAGAGAGCCUGCUCCAAAUUGGAAAUAAUACCAGCACAACUCAGAAGAACCACAAACAAGCCAUAGUCUAUCUCCAGAGAAUCACUAGAAAAAACAGCCUCACAGCCUGUCAUUCUGCUCAGUGUGCCCAAACCAUUGAUAUUGCUUGUCUGAAUUUGUGCCCCAGUUUCAAACAUUAAACAUACAGAACUACACCCCAGGACACAUUAUAUUUCACGGACUAAACUUGUUGUGUGAUUAGGUCCAGUUAGUUGAUUGUGAGGAUUUCGUAUUUGUAUGAGAAAUUUGUGUCUAAUAGGGAAUACUUUGAACCAAGACAAAAACUAAAUCCAUAAAUCCAACAGCUUUACCAACAACUAAAUUAUUUCUACACAAAAGAUGCUGGGCUACAGGGGAAAAGGGGGGGGCAUUAUAAAGAGCAAAUUGACAACUUCAGAAAAGCAUCCUGGGUAGCACAGAAAUUUGGCAAUAUAAAGUUACUUUAAUAAAAUAAACCAAACGUGCAAUUGACGUGAGAAAACUGCACUUUCAGGCUGUUUCUUUUACACAUACAGGCAGAGUGUGAGACAAGGAACACAUGAAGACGUGGGCAGGCAGAAGCUGACUUUUCGGCAAGGAAAAAAAGCAUCCUAUUUAAGCUUCUCCCUAAAGUCUUCCUUAGCCCUCUCUUUCUCUACUGAAAUCACAUAUUGCAAUAAAGCGGCAGGUGCUGUGAUUAUUUGAAUGUUUUAAGAAAUAGCAAGCUCUAGCAUGUACUAGCCUAUCAUAAACCUGAUGUGUAAUAAGGUGGCCACAGAGUAAAGCCAGGCUGAACAUUUCUGGCUGAUUAGAGACACUAUAUAACUUUCUCCUACAGAGAACAAGAAAGAAAGAUGGAAAAUAAAUCAUUUCAGAGAAGUCUGGAAUUUUUUUUUUAAACUUCUCCCACUAAGGAAUUAUUUGAUGCUUCAAAUCUCAGAAUAGAGGCAAGCUCAGCAUAUAGUGAGACUGAGGUUGACACAGGAAAUCUAAUAGGUAUUCCCAUCUCAAGUUAAUAGAUGAGCAUAAUUGAUUAUAGAGAAAUGUUAAUCUUUGCCUCUACAGUGCAGCCAUUUCCAUGGUAAGAUUACUCUUUGCGCACACACACAGAGAUUAUUUUUGAGGAGAAGCUUCAUAUACGUAUUUGUGUGUGUUCUUCAUUUUUCUAGCUAAAGAAACUACAGCCUUCAAAUCCCAUAUAUAUUAUGAAUCACAGAAUUGCAGACAGCUAGGCACAUAGCCAUCUAGCUACUAUUAAGGCAAAGGUGCUUCACUUUCGUAUUUUAAGGUUCAUUUAGCUAUAGAAAUGCUGCUUAGAAAAAGAAAAAAAAAUCACCAUAUGAAUUGUAGCUAAUUUUACUGAUUGGAUGAAAAGACAGGAAAGCCGAAUUGAGGGUAGGGGAAGCAAAAAAUAUUUUUUAAAGCCCUUAUGAAUGAUGCCCAGGUGUCCUCAGACUAACAGGUACAAAUCUAUAUAUUAUUAUUAUUUUUUUAAACUCCAACCAAGCCUUUUACUGCAAAUGUAAAUUUAUUUUAAUGAGAAUGGUGACAAGCUUUAUUUGACUGGUCAGAGUUAGAAAAAAAAUUAGUCUUAAUCUGAAAAAAAAAAUCACCAAUUCGCAGGAAUAUGGUUUCCUUACAGAAAGUGGUUGGCUGGUCUGUAAUUCUUUACAGAUUAAAUCACAAUAUGAAUACAGACCCCAGCAAUGCGGAGUUUAACUCUGAGCUCAGUAGAAUCCAGGAUCCAUUGAAUUUCUCCUUUCCCUCAAUCUAGUCGUGUGUGUUUUUCUCUUCCACCACACUGGAGCCUCGUGAAUAGGGAAGGGGCUUCCAUUGUGUCCCUCUGAACUUCCAAGUCAAUGCAAUUUUUAACCACUGGCUUGUGGUACUUUGAAAAUCACCAGGGGCUGUCAGAGUUGGGUCCUCUGAAAAAUUUACAGUGCUAAAUCAGAGCAUAUGCUGGGAGGGAAAAAAUUGCUUAAGAUUGGAGCAAGUACAGUAUCUGUCUGCCCCCUAGUGUAAGAGUCCUCGCUGUCUAAAAUCCAACUUUAAAAGAAAAGGAGCCCUUAAAGGGAAACGACUUGGGGCUCACGUAGGCAUAGGAGAACGAAACUUCUGUACAUUUUAAUCUGAAUAAUUCUUCAGGAUUGAAAAUUAUUUGGCUGUGGCUUGGUUGGAUCGCACUGGGAUCUCGUCGUCUCUACGUUUCCCGAGUCACUGGUGAAGAGGUGAUUUUUUUUUUUUUUUUUUUGAACUGGGUUUAUGUGCGUCCCCCUCACCCCUCCUUUCUUUUUCUUUCUGCCUCUGUCGUCUCUUUCGCUGGCUUUUUUUUUUUUUUUUUUUAAAUGAGGAACCCUUCCAUGAACGUUUUGCACAGAGAACAGAAUUGCUUCUAAAGUCAGCCCGGCGCGGUUGCAAUAGACAGCAAAAAGGUAAACGUUUGCCUGAAAUCCGCACGCCAGCUCCACCACCCCGCCCGAUGAGAUGACAAGAAGAACAGUAUUUAUGAAAAGAACUUUCAUGAUGUUUGUGGAAACAGCCGAAGAGGACCAACAAGACAGGAAGCAGUCUUUGGAUUGAACACCUCACUGUCUUCCCCACAACAACUGGUUACGAUCAAAAUCACGAUGGCGCACUCUGCCAGAGAAGAGCAGAGAGAAGGACCUGUUGUCACUUACCCGAGACAUCCAAAGCAAGUAAGACACAGAACAGUCUUCCAGGUAAAGGAGUUGACUCAGAGAUCCCCUGCAGUGAAGACAUGGGUUUUCGUCACUCGGAGCAGCUUCCGACUCUGAGUAUUGUGUCAGGAUGUAGUUUUUCAGGUAUAUGUUCCUCAAAAAUGAUUUUUUUUUUUUUUUUUUUGCAAAAGAAAUCGGGAAAUAACAGUUCCCUGCCAUCUCCGGAUUAAUUACUACAACACUUUGAUUAACUUUGGUUUGGGGUUAGUCAGUGACCAAGGGAAUAUGGUGAGGUUAACACCAUGAAAACUGUGCCAAUGAGAGGGCUUUUAGAAACAGGUAGCCAAUUCAGAGCUUUUAUUUUAUCAUUUUAUUAUUUUUAUUUUUUUCAAGACAAGGUAUCCAUAGGCGGCAUUGGCUCGCCUAGAACUUACUAUGUAAACCAAGUUGACUUUGAACUCACAGAGCUGUGCCUGCCUCUGAUUCCCAAGUGCUGGGGCUAAGGGGGCACAGCACAGUGCCUGGCAAUUACAGGUAUCUUGACUUAAUUAGAAGCAGCUAGAACAUUUGGUCUAAACUUUGAAGUUUACAAAGGUUAAACUAUAUGAGAUUGGGAUGCAGGUUCCUCUCCUGUCAGAGGACAAACUGUACUAAUUUUUCAGAACUUUGGCAAUUUCAAAAUUGUUUGAAGGUAAUUAUCUUUUUUUUUUUUUAAUGUAAUCCUGAGGAGAGUGGCUUGACCUUGCUUGCUGAAAUGUCCACAGAGAUGAAGAAGCAUGAAGAAUGGGAGGCAUCCAACCCAGAAGAGCAGGCCUGCCAUUUAUGGCAGGGGUGAGGAGACUGGCAGUUUUUCCUGUGGUCAGAAUGAAUGCCUGCGUGCAGGAUUUUACACAAGACCACAAUAAGUACUACUGGUAGAUUGAUAAGUUGGAAAGAACCACAGGUUCUACGGCAGAAACAAGAAGGUGUGGACCUGUGGGAAGAGGCUCUGGGGACAUUGUUUCAGGUUCCUGCUGAAGCCAGCAUUUAGGAGAUGGACAGCUGUUCAAGGAAAGGAAGAUCCCCAGAAGACAAGGACUUUUCUAAGUUGGCCUGGUUUGCCAGAGUAUCCUAAGAAGUCUCUUGAAACAAAUAAAACACUCAGAACUUCUGUAACUGUCACAGACAGUAUCCUGUUACUGCCUUUAAACAGAGCCCCUCAAGGGGAAGAACCCCUAUAUCCCAGAGUCAGAUGUCAGCCAUCUUAGGUCUUUGUUUUGCUUAAACGUCUGUACGUUUCCCAGUCAUAGGAAGACCGGGAAGAAAACUGUCCUAAGCGUCAUCUACUGUGUGGACUUCUCCGCACAGUCCUCUCUUUCCACAGACGCCAGCACUGUGCCUUCCUGAGGGCCGCUGAUGCAGGCACCUGCUACAGGGUUUGGGAGGAGCUUUGCUGUGGGAGCAGAGAACACAGCUCACACGUACUCAUGUUUACCCAGCCUCUCAAGUUCUGACUGAAUUCAUGCAUCUAAUCUAAAAGAAAGUUAAGAAAAACAAGGAUUGGUCCUGCUUGCUCCAUCUUCACUCUCAUCUGGUUAAUGGUGGACUCACGACUUUCAUGCGGGCGAUUGGACACCCAACAGAAGACCUGGAAGACCAGGAGGCUGCCCUUCCCGCCUCUGGCUUUGAUUUGCCAGAGUUGAUAAGAUUUCGAUUCACAGUUACUACCUGCCACCAGCUCUUCAGAGGGAGAGUGAAAGAACCCACAGCACACUGUACGGAUCGUCAGAGGCUGCACCUCGAAGCAGAGCUGACUCUGACAGACAAACGCUGAUUAGGAUAAGGUCUUGAGUAGUCCAGAUGGACCUCAAAUUCAUUGAAUAGCUGGGGAUCACCUUGAACACCUGAUCCCCCCUGCAUCUACCUCUCUCAAGUGCUGGGAUUUCAGGCUCCUGAUGCAGCUGCUAUCUGCGGACCUCCUGGACGGCCCAGGGAAGGAAGUGGGAGCUCCUGCCGCAGAUGGGUGGAACAGCGGCAAGAAAGGCUGAAGGUGGCCAAAAAUAACAGUGCCUUCCAGAUGAGGUGACCUCAGGGCCAAGAGCUUCAUGGGGUAGAGUAUCUUGUUCCUAGUUUUAUGAUCUAAAAAAGUACACAGAAGAUGCAAAGAUACUCCAGAGAGAAAGAAUAAAAUCUGCAGAGAACAGGGAAAUGUGAUUCGUUACUUCUUUUUUUUUAUAAAUUGAGUUUUUUUGUGCACAAACACAAGAAAACAGCCUUUUAUACAUGUUUGAAGAAAGACCGUAGGUAGUUGAAGACAGAUGAUAGAUACGUAGAUAGGUGGAUAGGUAGACAGACUGAAAAGACAAGCAUAACAUAAUGCAAUAGAAGAAGAAAAGGGGAAAGAGGUAGAGACAACGCUGCCUUCCUUUGUUUGCUACUGAAACAAAUUUAAUAAAUCUUCAUUGACGAUCAA